CUACGGGUCGCUCCAGCUAAGAAUCUUCCGCAAUGGACGAAAGUCUGACGGAGCGACGCCGCGUGAACGAUGAAGGCCGUGAGGUUGUAAAGUUCUUUUCGGGAGGAGGAAUAAUGUUUGCAGGGAAUGGCAAGCAGAUGACGUGAAUCCCGGAAUAAGCCCCGGCUAACUACGUGCCAGCAGCGCGCGGUAACACGUAGGGGGCGAGGCGUUGUUCGGAAUCAUUGGGCGUAAAGGGCGUGCAGGCGGUGUUGCAAGUCUGGCGUGAAAGAUCUCGGCUUAACCGAGGGAACGCGCUGGAAACUGUAACACUAGAGUACAGGAGGGGACAUUGGAAUUCCAGGUGUAGGGGUGAAAUCUGUAGAUAUCUGGAAGAACACCGGUGGCGAAGGCGAAUGUCUGGCCAUGUACUGACGCUGAGACGCGAAGGUGCGGGGAGCAAACAGGAUUAGAUACCCUGGUAGUC
RNAcentral lists this ribosomal RNA (466 nucleotides) under uncultured bacterium. RNAcentral describes it as "partial 16S ribosomal RNA". It matches the Rfam family "Bacterial small subunit ribosomal RNA", at positions 339 to 795 of the family's 1533-position model. The record is from RNAcentral.